RNAcentral lists this long non-coding RNA (716 nucleotides) under Microcebus murinus (gray mouse lemur). Its description in RNAcentral is "lncRNA (ENSMICG00000048433.1)". Lineage: Eukaryota; Metazoa; Chordata; Mammalia; Primates; Cheirogaleidae. The record is from RNAcentral.
GUGGAUUCCUUUUUACCCUGUGUUGUUAUUUGGCCUCUUGUGCAUGUUUCUUCUUUUGCUUUACAGUCUCUUAAAAGAAGAGCUAAUAAACUUGGAAAUGGAAAGAGCCUCUUACAUUUCGGGAAACACAAAUAGACCCUUCUGGUGCUAGUCAGACUGUGGAAGAGGUGGAAACAGCCAAGGAGGGCACCUCAGCCUGGAAGUAUAUGGGUUUCUUUUGAAGGAUUCUGCCCACAAUGCUGAGAAACCACCGUCUUCACCAUAUGGGAAACCACCACAGAUGCAAGACCACCUCAGGAGAAACCAACACAUCCAUAAUCUCUGAAGUCCCUGUGGUCCAGGAAGUUUGCAAAAGGAAUCUCCCACAGAAGAUGAACUUGACCAUGAAUCACCAUGUAAGUGAGAGGGCCAAGGAUGUGAGAGAAAAACAGCAAAUUCCCAAACUCAAUGAUUACAGGUCCUCACAUGCAAAAAUAUUAAUAUAUUCAACUCUACUGUGUUGAAGGCUUCAUGAAAUCACACCUUCAAAAAUAGCAGUUCUGUCAUUUUAUACAACAUUGAAAACAUCAGAGUCAUCUGAUAAAUACUGAUCAGCCAGUUAGGUGCAGUGUGUAUUCAUGAAGUGCCAUCAUUGAUUACCUGGAUCUCAUAAAUGGUGAGUGGUGUUAAUGGCCUUGCCAGCAUUGGAGCAGCUUGUCUCUGGUCACCCAGGCCCC